UACGGAGGGUGCAAGCGUUGUUCGGAAUCAUUGGGCGUAAAGAGCACGUAGGCGGGUUUGUAUGUCGAUUGUGAAAGCCCCGGGCUUAACCCGGGAAUUGCAGUCGAAACUGCAGAUCUUGAAUACCCAAGAGGAUGGGGGAAUUCCUGGUGGAGUAGUGAAAUACGUAGAGAUCAGGAGGAACACCUGAGGCGAAGGCGCCUGUCUGGUGGUGUAUUGACGCUGAGGUGCGAAAGCGUGGGGAGCAAACAGG
RNAcentral lists this ribosomal RNA (253 nucleotides) under uncultured bacterium. Its description in RNAcentral is "partial 16S ribosomal RNA". It matches the Rfam family "Bacterial small subunit ribosomal RNA", at positions 524 to 776 of the family's 1533-position model. The record is from RNAcentral.